GAUGAACGCUGGCGGCGUGCUUAACACAUGCAAGUCGAACGGAAAGGCCCAAGCUUGGUUGGGUACUCGAGUGGCGAACGGGUGAGUAACACGUGGGUGAUCUGCCCUGCACUUCGGGAUAAGCCUAGGAAACUGGGUCUAAUACCGGAUAGGACGAUGGUUUGGAUGCUAUUGGGGAGAGUGUUUUCGGGGUGGGGUGAGCACGCGGCGUAUCUGCUUGUGGGUGGGGUAAUGGCCUACCACGGCGUCGUCGGGUGUACGGCCUGAGAGGGUGUGCGGGGACAUUGUGGCUGAGAUACGGCGCAGAGACCUACGGGGGGGAGCGGUGGGGAAUAUUGCGCAAUAGGCGCAAGACUGAUGCGGAGAAGCGGUGUGGGGGAUAUCAGGGUUCUGGUUGUAAACACCUCUCGCGCGUGUCACGGCGUUUUUGUGACGGUACUUGGUGAAGAAGCACCGGCUAACUACGUG
RNAcentral lists this ribosomal RNA (468 nucleotides) under uncultured bacterium. Its description in RNAcentral is "partial 16S ribosomal RNA". It matches the Rfam family "Bacterial small subunit ribosomal RNA", at positions 28 to 507 of the family's 1533-position model. The record is from RNAcentral.